ACUUGCAUAGAAGGACAUCUUGAAAUCUCAUUCAUUGAAAUUGCCGAAGCACUUCCCUCUCCUGCCAUCGCAUUAACCAGACCAAAACAUUGGACAAAAUCCCUUCCAUCCAAACAUCCGUAUGUACACUUCAAAUACGCUUCUACUGUAGUCCAAUUCUAUCUUAAAGCGAUUGGUUUUUCAGCUUUUGUCGGUUGAAAAAUGGAGCCGGCGCCUAAUGGCGAAGAACCCACUUCGUGGGAUGAGUUAUACAACAUAAAUUUCAUGCCAUCUGAGUUGUUCCUCAAGUUUAGAAAAGAAAUUCAGGGAUUUCGAGUUGGUGUUAAUUUGGAGUUCUACAAUGCACCAACCAAUGAUUUCCAGACAAAGCUUGUGCUGAAGCCGUUAUCACCUGAGCGGAGGUGGAAGUUUGCUUACGAGCCUAUACAUCAAGAUAUACGCCUUCUUUCGAAAAAGAUACCUGUGACCAAAUUUCUUAAUCUCCAGGUUGGCAUGGGCUAUAAUUUCAAGUUGAAUGCAACUGGUUGGAAAUGGAAGCUCACAACCUGUUUGGGUGGAGAUGGAGUUUCUCGCAUUCGGAAUAAGACAACACUUGGCUUGGUUCCUGGCCUUGAUUUUCGAUUUGGGUGGAGGGCUGAUUAUGUUCUUCCAGAAAUUACAGGACAUGAUGUUGCACUUAUGUGUAGCUUUUUGAAUUUAACAGGGCUCUUGGUACCGAUGAACCAUUGUUCAACAUGAACUCAGGGCGGUUGCAAGCAUCACUAGACAGAGUUGAGGCCAUUCUGACUCAUUCAUCAUGAUUGGUUGUCAGAACAUCAGGUUCAGCUUGAAUUGAAAUUGAUAGGAUGAUUUUUCCAUGCAUGGAAUGGAGGUACAUUGAUCAACACCUACUUUACUUGUUAAACACCAAUGUAGUGGCUCUUUUGUAAAGCAUUAAGUAGCCAUGGCAUGAAUGAAUCAGGUUUUCAAAUUAAAUAUUUCCCUGACAUUAAAGCAAAUUCAUGUAUGAAAUUUGCUUCAUUAUAGUGGUAAUUUUAGUUGCAGUUCUUUUUCUUUUCUUCUCUUUCUCCACUUUCCUUUUAUAUGUUAAUCACGUCCAUCUACAAGUCCCUUGGUGAAAUUACUGGUAAGUCAGGUUAUUUUUUAUUGUUGAAAUUGAUCACAUGUUUACAAUAGCGCUUGGUGGUGUAACAAUAUCAGAUGGUUUUUAUUUAUUGGAUACUUUGAACAUUUUGAUUUGUCAU
This is a non-coding RNA of Durio zibethinus, 1244 nucleotides long. NCBI's taxonomy places the organism in Eukaryota, Viridiplantae, Streptophyta, Magnoliopsida, Malvales, Malvaceae. The record is from RefSeq and is a predicted model, not a curated record.